Molecule: ribosomal RNA, 285 nt
Filed under: uncultured bacterium
Lineage: Bacteria
Description: partial 16S ribosomal RNA
Rfam family: Bacterial small subunit ribosomal RNA
Source: RNAcentral
AAUGAACGUUGGCGGCGUGGAUUAGGCAUGCAAGUCGAGCGAGAACCCGCAAGGGGGACAGCGGCAAACGGGGUAGUAACGGGUAGGUGACGUACCCUCGGGUCGGGGAUAGCCACGGGAAACUGUGGGUAAUACCCGAUAAUCUCCUGGAACGUGAUGGUUUCGGGAGCAAAGGUGUGAUUCCACCGGAGGAGCGACCUGCCUCGUAUUAGCUAGUUGGUGAGGUAACGGCUCACCAAGGCGACGANGGCGGUAGGGGGUGUGAGAGCAUCGACCCCCCACCAC